GAGAGAAAAAGGUUUUGUAGGUUUGUACUUCUAAUAUAGGUCUAGGGGUGGUUCAAAUCCAUCCUUCUCUUG
Molecule: transfer RNA, 72 nt
Filed under: Raeta pulchella
Lineage: Eukaryota; Metazoa; Mollusca; Bivalvia; Venerida; Anatinellidae
Description: tRNA-Ser
Source: RNAcentral